AUGGCUGUCUACUAUAAGUUCAAGAGUGCCAGAGACUAUGACUCGAUCCCUAUCGAGGGGCAGUUCAUCUCGGUUCUCAACCUCAAGGAGAUGAUUUUUGAGUCCAAGCACCUUGGCAGAGGCACUGAUUUCGACCUCAUGAUCUCGAAUGCCCAGACUGAUGAAGAGUAUGCUGAUGAAUCUAUCAUGAUACCAAAGAACACUUCAGUGUUGAUUCGCCGGAUACCAGGACGCCCAAGGAUGCCAAUCGUUACUGAACCACAAGAGGCAAUAGCUGCAGAAAGUAGGGUAGAAGAAAUCGUGCCUUCUGGCAGCGCUUUUCUUGGUGAUUCAUCUAUGAAAUAUCCUGAAGAAUCUGAGUGGGAUGAUGAGUUCGGCAACUCUUUAUAUGUUUCUGAUUCAGUUCCUUCUCAGCCUGCUAGCCAGGCAAUUGACGCUUCUUCUGAAAAUCAAAUUGACGAAGAUAGUAAGAUAAAAGCCCUUAUUGAUACAGUGGCCGUUGACUAUAGCCAAAUUCCUGAUGGCUAUGGAUCCGGAAGAGGUUAUGGCAGAGGAAUGGGUGGGAGAAUGAUGGCUGGGCGUGGUUUUGGACGUGGGAUGGGUCGGCUAGAUAACAGGUCACCUCCUCCUGGCUAUAUUUGUCAUAGAUGUAAAGUACCAGGUCAUUUCAUUCAACAUUGCCCAACAAAUGGUGAUACUAGAUAUGACGUUAGAAGGAUGAAACCUCCAACUGGCAUCCCAAAAUCCAUGUUAAUGGCAACUCGAGAUGGCUCAUAUGCACUGCCAAGUGGGGCUGGUGCUGUUUUGAAGCCAAAUGAAGCUGCUUUUGAGAGGGAGAUAGAGGGCCUACCCACCACCCGAUCUCUCAGUGAUCUCCCGCCAGAGUUGCGUUGCCCGUUAUGUAAAGAAGUAAUGAAGGAUGCCGUUCUAACUAGUAAAUGCUGCUUUAAGAGUUUCUGUGAUAAAUGCAUUAGGGACUACAUAAUUAGCAAGUCAAUGUGUGUCUGUGGUGCCACAAGCAUAUUAGCAGACGAUCUUCUCCCCAAUAAAACUCUAAGAGAAACCAUCAGUCGCAUAUUAGAGGCACCACCAACUAGCAGUACAGAAAACGCGGGAAGCAUGGUGCAAAUACAGGACAUGGAGUCGGCUCUACCUGUACCACCCAAGGUUAGGUCUCCUGCUGUUUCUGCUGCUUCAAAAGAAGAACCUAAAGCACUGAUGCCAGUAGAGGAAUCACCAGACGCUGAGAGCCAGAGCGGAUUGAAAGCUAACAUUGAUGUGAGUUCUUCAGAUAAUAAGGUUACCACAAUUCCAGAUAUCACUGAAGCGACAAUGGACUCUAAGAACAGCAAAAAGGAAAAAACACCAGAAAUGAUUCAUGUCGCAAAAGAGUCACAGGAAAAAUUGCCUGCAGGCGAACAAGCAGUAAAGAAGAAAAAGAAGAAGAAGGUGCGAGCACCAGGGAAUGCCGAGGAGCAAUGGAAUAAUAAUUAUCAAGAUUUUGGACCUGAAAAUUUUGCUGGAAUGCCUUUGGGCCCGCAAGGAGGUUUUAACCCUUACUGGGGAGGAGGGAUGCCAUUGCCAAUAGAUUACAUGGGUGCACCAUUUCCAGGUCCCAUGCCUUACAUGGGCUAUCCUCCACCAGGUCCAUUUGAUCCUUUUGGUGGGGGAGUUCUUCCACAAGAUCCAUUUAUGCCCCCGGCAUACAUGAUGCCAACAGUUCCUAGGGACCUUUCUGAAUUAGCUGUUAACAGUAUGGGAAUGAACAUGGGGCCACCAGUUGUGAGAAGAGACGAAUUUCAGCUCAGGAAACCAGAUGGGAGGAGACAUGAAAUGGAUCGAUUAAACGGAAGGGACCGGGACCGGGAUCGGGAUCGGGAGCAUGAACAUUCCCGCGAGAGGGAAAGGGAGCGGGAGAGGGAGAGGCAGAGGGAGCGAGACCGUGAUGGUGAUCGAGAUCGAGACAGAGACCGGGGCAGGGAGUAUCGAAGGGAAGCAAGGGAAUCAUCAGGAGCCGUAAACGAUAGUACAUCGAUGAGACCUAAGGAUAGGUCGAGGCCCCAGGCGGACAGGUCGGAGCGCGCACUGCCGCCGCCGCCACACAGCCCCGACCGGCACUCGCGUCGCUCCCCGCACCGCUCCUCCAGCUCCGGCAAGAAGCGCUCCUCGUCCGACCACUACGACGACCUGCCCCUCCCGCCUCCGCCGCCACCGGCGUCGCGACACGAGGCAGAGCACGCGAAGGCGGCGGCUGCUGCUGCAGCAGACCAGCGGUCCAAGGCCAAGGCCAGCGUCUUCUCCCGCAUCAGCUUCCCCGGCGAGGCCAAUACCUCCGACCCCAAGCGCAGCCGCAGGUCGUCCUCCGACAAGCGCCCUGCAUCCUCGUCGUCUUCAUCCAAGAGAAGCGUCGCUGCCGCCGCAGCUGCCGAGGAGAGCGACAGCCGUCACCACCAUCAGGAGACGGUCUUGGCGGCGGAGGAGGAGAGGCGGAGACCCGCGCCUACGGAGUACGACGACGAGGAGCAGUCGAGCGAGGAGGAGAAGCAUUUCAAGAGGAGGCCGUCGUCCUCCAGGCGGGAGGGGGAGCGCUCGCGGCAGCACGAGGAGCCGCGGCACUCGCGGCGGUCUAGGGAGCGCGGGGACGGCCACCACCACAACCACAGCCACAGCGGUGGCGCACACAAGCGCCGGUGA
This 2694-nucleotide ribosomal RNA is filed under the name Triticum aestivum (bread wheat). RNAcentral's name for it is "partial small subunit ribosomal RNA". The record is from RNAcentral. Lineage: Eukaryota; Viridiplantae; Streptophyta; Magnoliopsida; Poales; Poaceae.